AGUCCGGUCGCUCAAUGGAAGGGCGCCUGAAUUGCAUUUAGGAGAUGUGGGUUCGACUCCCGCUCGGAUUU
Molecule: transfer RNA, 71 nt
Filed under: bacterium
Lineage: Bacteria
Rfam family: tRNA
About the family: Transfer RNA (tRNA) molecules are approximately 80 nucleotides in length. Their secondary structure includes four short double-helical elements and three loops (D, anti-codon, and T loops).
Source: Rfam by way of RNAcentral